Molecule: ribosomal RNA, 419 nt
Filed under: uncultured bacterium
Lineage: Bacteria
Description: bacterial SSU rRNA
Rfam family: Bacterial small subunit ribosomal RNA
Source: RNAcentral
CUGGCGGCACGCCUAACACAUGCAAGUCGAACGAAGUAGCAAUACUUAGUGGCAGACGGGUGAGUAACAUGUAGGUAUCUGCCCUUUGGCCUGGAAUAACACGAGGAAACUUGUGCUAAUACCGGAUAAGUCUUUACGGAGAAAGCUUUAUGCACCAUUGGAUGAGCCUGCACUUGAUUAGUUUGUUGGUGGGGUAAUGGCCUACCAAGACUUUGAUCAAUAGCUGAUUUGAGAGGAUGAUCAGCCACAUUGGGACUGAGACACGGCCCAAACUCCUACGGGAGGCAGCAGUGGGGAAUCUUGCACAAUGGAGGAAACUCUGAUGCAGCGAUGCCGCGUGAGUGAAGAAGGCCUUUGGGUUGUAAAGCUCUUUCGUCGGGGAAGAAAAUGACUGUACCCGAAUAAGAAGGUCCGGCUAA